RNAcentral lists this transfer RNA (73 nucleotides) under Pocillopora damicornis (cauliflower coral). Its description in RNAcentral is "tRNA-Ile". It matches the Rfam family "tRNA". Rfam says of the family: Transfer RNA (tRNA) molecules are approximately 80 nucleotides in length. Their secondary structure includes four short double-helical elements and three loops (D, anti-codon, and T loops). Lineage: Eukaryota; Metazoa; Cnidaria; Anthozoa; Scleractinia; Pocilloporidae. The record is from Rfam by way of RNAcentral.
GGUGCGUUAGCUCAGUCGGUAGAGCAUGGUGCUGAUAACGCCAAGGUCGUGAGUUCGAACCUCACACGGACCA